Pogoniulus pusillus (Red-fronted tinkerbird) is the source of this 1364-nucleotide long non-coding RNA. RefSeq lists it as uncharacterized. The transcript has 4 exons. Lineage: Eukaryota; Metazoa; Chordata; Aves; Piciformes; Lybiidae. The record is from RefSeq and is a predicted model, not a curated record.
CCAUUGUGGGCAGAAGGAUCCUCCUCGGAUCGUCACCGCUCACUGAGGAUGACCUGGAGUACUCGGCUGAACCUGUACCAGAUCAUGGAGGAACACAUCCAACUUCCAGCCAUUGCCCUUGUCCUGUCAUCAGGCAUCACCAAGAAAAGCCUGGCUCCAUCCUCCUGGCGCUCGUUUAUCCUUCUGUGUUCCUCUGCAUUGUUCAGAAAGACACAAUGUAGUGCGAGGAUUUGGAUGCCAACAUGGUGAACAAGCAAUUGAAAAGAUGGUCAAAACACUCAGGUUUACACUGUCUGUUCUCAAAUGCAAACUUUAGCCUCGGAGAAUUAAUCAUCCCAGGAUCGUGAUACACUCCACAGAGAGAGAGAGAAAGAGAGAAAAGCUCCAGGGGUUGAUUCAAGCAUAGUGAAUUGUGCUCUGGAAAUGUCUGACUAGUUACCAUUUGUGAAUAGUCCUUAAGUACCUUUCUAAGUUUAGCCCGUAAUUUCUUUCAUUCACCUAUGUAAAACAGAUCUAAUUGUAUUUCUCUCCCUCAGAGGAAUAUUGCAAAGACAUCCUCUUCAUGCCCAGAAGUCAGGUCCUUGAAGGGAGUUUCUAUAUAUCAACAGAUAAAUACAAUAUCUAGGUUCAUCCAAACAUCAUUUCUGGGUUUGUAGAAAUAAAAAUGCACAGUGAUGCUAAAAAGUACUAUCUGGAUCACUGAAAAAAAGAAAAGAAACCACAAAAUAGCAUGAGAGCUCAGUAUAUGAAAUGUCUAGCUUUGCAUUCGACCAAACAGGUAGCUACUGACUCCAUGCAGGAAAUAUUCCUACCUUUUUCAGUAAAUAUUUGUUCCUUGAAAAACUGCUACGAAAUUCUUACCAUGCCAGAUGCUUUCUUUCUCAAUUAAACAAUUAAAAAUUCUGUGGUUAAAAGGCAGAGGAUGAGAUCAUUAUCCACCUAAAAAGCUUUUUAAUGAUGGUUAUCCAUUAACAUGAAGAAGACGCUAAAAAAACAGGUUACAACUUGUCACUUUAUUUAUGGUGUAUGCAAGAUUUAUCCUGUGUACAUAGAAGUGAUGACAAAUACCUCUAGCCUUUCAGAAUUGUGAACUCUUUGCACACAUUUUCUUUGAGUCCUAUUAGUACUAAUAGGUGUUGCAGGCUUGUGCAUUGAGAGGGUAGUCUGUGCCCUAGGGAGAUUUUAAACAUCAGAACAAACUCUUCUGCUUUAAAAAGAACAGCUACAAUCCUUGUUGAAAGCAUAGAACAGGGUACAGAUAUAGCUGACAGAUGAACCACUAGCCAAGAAAUCAAAAAGUACUGCAUUUCUAGUGAUGUUCUCUGUUUAUUAUUCCAUUUUGGAAAAGUCAGAGAAGAAGGUAA